This 253-nucleotide ribosomal RNA is filed under the name uncultured bacterium. Its description in RNAcentral is "partial 16S ribosomal RNA". It matches the Rfam family "Bacterial small subunit ribosomal RNA", at positions 524 to 776 of the family's 1533-position model. The record is from RNAcentral.
UACGUAGGUGGCAAGCGUUGUCCGGAUUUACUGGGCGUAAAGGGCGUGCAGGCGGUCUGUUAAGUGCAGGGUGAAAGCUCCCGGCUCAACUGGGAGAGGUCCUUGCAUACUGGUGGACUUGAGGGGGGUAGAGGAAAGUGGAAUUCCCGGUGUAGUGGUGAUAUGCGUAGAUAUCGGGAGGAACACCUGUGGCGAAGGCGGCUUUCUGGGCCCUACCUGACGCUGAGACGCGAAAGCGUGGGGAGCGAACCGG